Long non-coding RNA from Nannospalax galili (Upper Galilee mountains blind mole rat), 794 nucleotides. RefSeq lists it as uncharacterized. Lineage: Eukaryota; Metazoa; Chordata; Mammalia; Rodentia; Spalacidae. The transcript has 4 exons. The record is from RefSeq and is a predicted model, not a curated record.
GGAAGUUCUUCAUCCUCUCUCAGUGGCAUCAGCAGAAAAUUGAUGUCUCAUACAUAGCUUCGGCUUACACAGAAUGACAUCUUUCAAACAGAGGUCACCCUCAUCAUCAAAGGGUUCAUCUACUUGGGGUUUAUCUAAGGCCACGGUCCAUGUGCUAUCUCCAACCCUCUACUCCACCAAACUUCUGGGAAAAUGCAGAUGACAUGUCUAAAGAAGAGGACCGAAAAGAGCUGAAAACCAAAGCCCCCAAAUGAAAUCCUUAUACUCCCGGAAGCAGCAGGACCUUUCAUUGCUGUCUCUGGGCUACAAGAAUCAAAGAGCAAAAUGGAUGUUUUCCUCUGAGAACUGGCACUGCACAGAAGGAAGGAAAUGCCUAUUCCAAUUCAAAAUUCAAGUCAUUAUAGUUGGAAUCUGAAUAAGUCUGUGCUAGAUGGUGUUAUGCAAUAUAUGGCAGAGGUGGAAGAAUGGAAUGUGCCCUGCUGAUUUACAAGGAGAAUUCAACCUAGCAGAGACUCGAGGACACACAUGCCAAUCAUGCCUAUGAGUAUGGACCGCUCCAUCUGAGAGUUCUAAGCAAAGAGUUCUCUUGGCUUCCUCAUCCACUGCUUGAGCAGGAUUAGAGGUGCCUUUCUUAUGCUUCAAUGCUCCCUUAUCUCCCCCUGCAUUGAGAAGAUGGUACCUAGCCACUCUGUUUUCUAUUUGGAUUGCCAGCCUGCAGUUUGUGCUUCUUAAGUGAAGUCAGAAACACUUAUGUUCUUAUUUUUAUCACCUAUUAAAGUUUGUGAUAUAUCUAA